GAUGAACGCUAGCGGCAGGCCUAACACAUGCAAGUCGAGGGGCAUCGCGGUGCAGCAAUGCACUGGCGGCGACCGGCGUACGGGUGCGUAACGCGUAUGCAACCUGCCCCGCACCGGGGGAUAGCCCGCCGAAAGGCGGAUUAAUACCCCAUGGUCCCCGGGGGCCCGCAUGGGCAUCCGGGUAAAGCCUUGGCGGUGCGGGAUGGGCAUGCGUGCCAUUAGCUGGCUGGUGGGGUAACGGCCCACCAGGGCAACGAUGGCUAGGGGGUCUGAGAGGAUGGUCCCCCACACUGGUACUGAGACACGGACCAGACUCCUACGGGAGGCAGCAGUGAGGAAUAUUGGUCAAUGGGCGGAAGCCUGAACCAGCCAUGCCGCGUGCGGGAUGAAGGCCCUACGGGUUGUAAACCGCUUUUCCCCGGGAAGAAUAACCCCGAUGAGUCGGGUGAUGCCGGUACCGGGGGAAUAAGGAUCGGCUAACUCCGUG
This 487-nucleotide ribosomal RNA is filed under the name uncultured bacterium. RNAcentral describes it as "bacterial SSU rRNA". It matches the Rfam family "Bacterial small subunit ribosomal RNA", at positions 28 to 507 of the family's 1533-position model. The record is from RNAcentral.